AUACCGGGCCUUUUGGGCUUGGUAAUUGGAAUGAGGGAGAGUUAAACGGACCAUCGAGUAUCCAUUGGAGGGCAAGUCUGGUGCCAGCAGCUGCGGUAAUACCAGCUCCAAUAGCGUAUAUUAAAGUUGUUGCAGUAAAAAGCUCGUAGUUGGACUUGUGUGCGCUGUCCGCGGGUGGCCUGCGCCCAAAAGGGCGUUUCGGUUCGGCCCCGGUGGCGCCUUGAAAUCUGCAGCUGGGGGGACGUUGGCCUUAACUGGUCGGCGACCGCACGCCGGCUGCUCGGUUACUGUGAGAAAAUUAGAGUGUUCAAGGCAGGCAUUGGGUGCAAUUGAAUACAUUAGCAUGGAAUAAUAAAAUAUGGCUCCUGCCGUAUUUUGUUGGUUUUGACUGGUGGGAGUAAUGAUUGAUAGGGACGGUUGGGGGUGCUAGUAUUGAGCGGCCAGAGGUGAAAUUCAUGGAUUCGCUCAAGACUAACUUAUGCGAAAGCAUUCACCAAGGACGUCCUCUUUAAUCAAGAACGAAAGUUGGGGGAUCGAAGACGAUCAGAUACCGUCGUAGUCUCAACCAUAAACUAUGUCGACUUGGGGUCGGCGGUAGUUUUUUCAUUAAGACACUGUCGGGACCACGGGAGAAAUCAAAGUGUCUGGACUCUGGGGGAAGUAUGGUCGCAAGGCUGAAACUUGAAGGAAUUGACGGAAGGGCACCACCAGGAGUGGAGCCUGCGGCUUAAUUUGACCCAACACGGGGAAACUUACCAGGUCCAGAGAUGUAGAGGAUUGACAGAUUGAAGCUCUUUCUUGAUCACUUCGGUGGUGGUGCAUGGCCGUUCUUAGUUGGUGGAGUGAUUUGUCUGGUUAAUUCCGUUAACGAACGAGACCUCAGCCUGCUAGUGUAGUCGGCUGGAUUGCCUUUGGCGAUCCGUGAUUUCGACUUCUUAGAGGGACAAUCGACGCGCAGUCGAUGGAAGUUUGAGGCAAUAACAGGUCUGUGAUGCCCUUAGAUGUUCUGGGCCGCACGCGCGCUACACUGCUGGGCUCAGCGAGUUUUACUUGGCCGAGAGGCCCGGUUAAUCUUGUGAAAUCCCAGCGUGCCUUGUCUCGCCUCCUGCAACUGGAGGCGCCAACGAGGAAUUCCUAGUAGACGCAGGUCAUCAACCUGCAUCGAUUACGUCCCUGCCCUUUGUACACACCGCCCGUCGUUCCAUAAGAGUGAGGCAUCCGGUGAAUUCUCGGGAGAGCCUAGGCGUGGCCAGCAAUGGUCUGCUCGGGUUUGAACUUGCAUAAACUUGG
RNAcentral lists this ribosomal RNA (1290 nucleotides) under metagenome. RNAcentral describes it as "SSU rRNA". It matches the Rfam family "Eukaryotic small subunit ribosomal RNA", at positions 483 to 1768 of the family's 1831-position model. The record is from RNAcentral.